Long non-coding RNA from Harpegnathos saltator (Jerdon's jumping ant), 1124 nucleotides. RefSeq lists it as uncharacterized. The record is from RefSeq and is a predicted model, not a curated record. The transcript is spliced from 5 exons. NCBI's taxonomy places the organism in Eukaryota, Metazoa, Arthropoda, Insecta, Hymenoptera, Formicidae.
CUAAAGGCAAAAAGCCUCGUCUUUCUCUGUGCGUCUCCUUUUACCCUCUUCUCCAUCCGACGAGUCUGAUCUCCUAGGACCGGUCUUUCUCCCGUGGCUCCUCCCGGAAUAGACUGGUGCUGUCCUCCCUCGUCUGUAUCUUACUUGGCCAUCGGUAGCGUUUGACCGACGCACACGGACGAAAUUAUCGUCGGUUUAUGUGAUUAUGUUAGUGAAUUCGCGAUUUGAGGUAAUGAUACUGCGCACAUUGCGAUUUCACAUAUUUAUAAAAUUUUUGUUUAGUUUAUUACGUUUCUGUUGGUAUAAAAUAUAAUAGUGUGUGUGUGCUGUAAAUUGUAACGCAAAAAUGUGCAAUAUGGCUGAAUACCUCAUGUGGGAUCUUUUACACCUUGAGAAUCGCGUGAGAAUGCUACAACAUCAAAUAGAAAGAAGAGUCUACUAAUCGUGAUACUAAUGAUCCAUUCGAGUUACACGAUAACGUUUUCAUUGAUUUAUUUCGCUUGCCACCUGACACUGUGUUGGAAUUAGCAGAGAUCUUAAGACCAAGGUUACAACGAUUACGACCAUAUGGAAUUUCAGUACAGCAUCAAGUAUUAACAGCUUUAAGAUUUUAUGCUGUUGGCUGCUACCAAAGUGCCAUUAGGGAACAAUGGAACCUGGCUGUCAGUCAAUCGACUGUAAGCCGUUGUGUAGCAGCUGUGACAAAUGGAAUAAAUGACCUAUUACUAUGACCAUGGGUAAAAUUUCCUAUUACAGCGGAGGAUCGACAAGCUGCAAGAGAAAAGUUCCGCACAGCACAACAUCCGUUUAUAAGUGGUAUCGGUGCAAUAGAUUGCACUUAUGUAUCGAUUCUGGCACCGCAACUUCACGAAGAAGCCUACGUCAAUCACUGGGGUGAUCACUGUCUCAAUGUUCAAGCGGUAUAUUUAAAUAAAUAAUUUGUGACCCUGAUUUAAAAAUUCUAAACAUUAAUGCUUGAUAUCCUGGGGCACGACAUGAUGCAUAUAUUUGGGCAAAUUGUGCUGCUCGUUGUGUCAUGAAACGAUGGUAUGCAAGGAGGACGCAAGACUUGGCUUAUCGGUGAUGAUGGGUAUGGACUGGAGCCGUGGUUAAUGACUCCAUUG